Leopardus geoffroyi (Geoffroy's cat) is the source of this 103-nucleotide small nuclear RNA. The record is from RefSeq and is a predicted model, not a curated record. Lineage: Eukaryota; Metazoa; Chordata; Mammalia; Carnivora; Felidae.
CUACUUUGGCAAUACAUAUAAUAAAAUUGGAACAAUAUAGAGAAGAUUAGCAUGGCCCCUGCGUAAGGAUGAUAUGCAAAUUUGUGAAGCAUUCCAUAUUGUA